This is a long non-coding RNA of Trachymyrmex septentrionalis, 812 nucleotides long. RefSeq lists it as uncharacterized. The record is from RefSeq and is a predicted model, not a curated record. The transcript is spliced from 3 exons. Lineage: Eukaryota; Metazoa; Arthropoda; Insecta; Hymenoptera; Formicidae.
UUCGCGUCGCACUCCAACAAAUGCGUCGAAGUGAAUAAGAGCCGUUGUAGGAGCAUGCAACGUUAAAAGCGAUACCCAACGACCGGAAUAAAACAUUGGAGUCUCAUUUGAACCUCGUUAUAAUCGUGCUACGCGAAUACCAUCUGUAUACCGAGAUUUCGUUUGGAAACAUUGGCCAAGCAUUUUUUCAGUUGCUAUCUUACAAAACACAGUACGCGCGUCGAUGAAAUAAUACGAACGAAAUAAGAACUGGUCGACAACGCCAAUCGUGCCUCGAACGUAACACGCAAUGUAAAACGAACGGCGGCGAUGGGAAGCAAUAAUUCAUUGGCGAAAAUCAUCUUUCACCUCUCGCUCGUUAAUGCCCUAACGAGAGGAAUUAAAUGUAUCCAGCGAUUAGGCGGCGGCGAUCCCCCAUCGUUGAAAUCGCUUCACCUGCGAGCGUGGGAACCGUUGCUGGCGGCCUUGCGGAACCACCGGUGAGGCACACCGCGGCCUUAUAUAAAAACGCUAAUGAUAUCUGAUUGCUCCCUAUUCACGAUGAUACCCGGCUUUUGCACGCCCGUCGUGCAGACUCGCGCCUCGCCUCCGGCCGGCUCUCCGUACAGCACGGCGACUUUAUCUGGACCGCUUAUCAUCGCGCCGUUCGUCCUGCAAUCGUCGGGUAACGUUGAGAUCUUCAAGUAAGAGAUUCGACACACCAUCCUGAAAUGUCCUGAAUGUAAUGGACCAAACGCCUUAAUCCUCCGUCAGCAACGUGAAUUUUUAAUUCUUUCAACAUGGAUCUUCGAGAUACAGCAAAUUGUUUACUG